AGUGAACGCUGGCGGUAGGCCUAACACAUGCAAGUCGAGCGGCAGCACAGUAAGAGCUUGCUCUUACGGGUGGCGAGUGGCGGACGGGUGAGGAAUACAUCGGAAUCUAAUUUUUCGUGGGGGAUAACGUAGGGAAACUUACGAUAAUACCGCAUACGACCUACGGGUGAAAGCAGAAGAUCUUCGGACCUUGCGCGAUUGAAUGAGCCGGUGUCGGAUUAGCUAGUUGGCGGGGUAAGGGCCCACCAAGGCGACGAUACGUAGCUGAUCUGAGAGGAUGAUCGGCCACACUGGAACUGAGACACGGUCCAGACUCCUACGGGAGGCAGCAGUGGGGAAUAUUGGACAAUGGGCGCAAGCCUGAUCCAGCCAUACCGCGUGGGUGAAGAAGGCCUUCGGGUUGUAAAGCCCUUUUGUUGGGAAAGAAAAGCAGCAUGUUAAUACCCCGCUGUUCUGACGGUACCCAAAGAAUAAGCACCGGCUAACUUCGUG
This 492-nucleotide ribosomal RNA is filed under the name uncultured bacterium. RNAcentral's name for it is "partial 16S ribosomal RNA". It matches the Rfam family "Bacterial small subunit ribosomal RNA", at positions 29 to 507 of the family's 1533-position model. The record is from RNAcentral.